UGAGCUGGCGAUUUACUUCGCAUGUGCUCGCUUUCUUAUCCUUUAUACACCUGUGCAUCUCUGAGGGGAUAGUAGGCUGACUUAUGUUAGUCGAGCUCCCCUUUAUACACACACUUUAUUUAUUAAUGAAUGUUCAAACGCUUAACAGCAUUUAAAAACAACUUUUAACAACGGAUCUCUUGGCUCUCGCAUCGAUGAAGAACGCAGCGAAAUGCGAUAAGUAAUGUGAAUUGCAGAAUUCAGUGAAUCAUCGAAUCUUUGAACGCACCUUGCGCUCCCUGGUAUUCCGGGGAGCACGCCUGUUCGAGCGUCAUGAAGCUCUCAAACGGUCUCUUCUUUUAAUCGAGAUGGAGGCAUGUUUGGAUUUGGACUCUGCCGUGUUACAAACGGCUGGUCCGAAAUAUAUUAGCUGAUCCUAGUGAGACUUGGUUCUACUUGGCGUGAUAAUUAUCUAACGUCGAGGACAUCGCAAGAUGGCCAAAGCUUGUCAUGGAUUGCUUCUAAUCGUCUUCAUCGACAACUUAUCAUCAAUCUGACCUCGAAUCAGGCGGGACUACCCGCUGAACUUAAGCAUAUCAA
Molecule: ribosomal RNA, 579 nt
Filed under: uncultured fungus
Lineage: Eukaryota; Fungi
Description: eukaryotic LSU rRNA
Rfam family: 5.8S ribosomal RNA (bases 160-313)
Source: RNAcentral